This 467-nucleotide ribosomal RNA is filed under the name uncultured bacterium. Its description in RNAcentral is "partial 16S ribosomal RNA". It matches the Rfam family "Bacterial small subunit ribosomal RNA", at positions 28 to 507 of the family's 1533-position model. The record is from RNAcentral.
GACGAACGCUGGCGGCGUGUUUAACACAUGCAAGUCGAACGGAAAGGCCUCUUUCGGGGGGUACUCGAGUGGCGAACGGGUGAGUAACACGUGAGUAACCUGCCCUUGACUUUGGGAUAACUUCAGGAAACUGGGGCUAAUACCGGAUAGGAGCUCCUGCUGCAUGGUGGGGGUUGGAAAGUUUCGGCGGUUGGGGAUGGACUCGCGGCUUAUCAGCUUGUUGGUGGGGUAGUGGCUUACCAAGGCUUUGACGGGUAGCCGGCCUGAGAGGGUGACCGGCCACAUUGGGACUGAGAUACGGCCCAGACUCCUACGGGAGGCAGCAGUGGGGAAUAUUGCACAAUGGGUGGAAGCCUGAUGCAGCAACGCCGUGGGCGGGAUGACGGCCUUCGGGUUGUAAACCGCUUUCGCUCAUGACGAAGCUUUGUGUGACGGUAGUGGGUAAAGAAGCACCGGCUAACUACGUG